AUCGUCCUGGUGGUUUAUAAGUAUGAUCACUGGAUUUUAGACUCCUCUGUGAAAUGUGCCUCUCUCAAUUCUUGUUCAAACCUUGUUAAAUCAGCACAUCACUUGUCUGACA
Molecule: small nucleolar RNA, 112 nt
Organism: Oryctolagus cuniculus (rabbit)
Lineage: Eukaryota; Metazoa; Chordata; Mammalia; Lagomorpha; Leporidae
Source: Ensembl